AUGCCCUCAUCCUCCUCGUCCCGCCGUCGUCGAGGCAGGAGCGGCGGACGGCACGCCGCGGAUGAGACGGAGACGAGGAACUGGGCGGAGCUGCCGCUGGACGCGAUCUUGACCAUCCUCCACAAGCUCGACCACGUCGACAUCCUUAUGGGCCCCGGCCAGGUGUGCCGCUCCUGGCGCGGCGCCGCCCGCGAUGAGCCGGAGCUGUGGCGCCGCAUCAACAUGCUGGGCCACGCCGAUCUCGAGAACGAGGUCAACCUCCACGGGAUGGCCCAGGCCGCCGUCCGCCGCAGCGCGGGGAGGUGCGAGGCGUUCUGGGGCGAGUACGCCCGUGACCACGACUUCCUCUUCUAUCUCGCCGACCAGGCACCAUCUCUUAAGAGUCUUCGCCUCAUUUCUUGCUAUGAUAGACUUACAGAGGCGAUAAUGAAGUUCCAUUUGCUUGAGGAGCUCGAGCUUUCACUCUGUCCAAAUGUGAAUGACAGUGGUGUCUUUGGGGUUAUCGGCAAAGCAUGCCCACAACUGAAGCGCUUCAGACUGAGCAAGGAUGUGUUCUGUGAUUUUGAAGCUAGUGUCUAUGGAAAGGACGAGGAAGCCUUGGGGAUUGCGACUAUGCACGAGCUACGCUCUUUGCAGCUGUUUGGCAAUAUCCUCACCAACAAAGGACUGACAGCCAUCCUGGACAAUUGCCGCCAUGUGGAGUCCCUUGACAUCCGCCACUGUUUCAACGUCACCAUGGAUGACGCCCUGCGUGCAAAGUGUGCCAGGAUAAGCACACUGAUGCUUCCGAAUGACUCAGCCGAUGACUAUGACUUGGUUGUUAAGAGCCCUAUUCGUGCGGAUUCAGAGUCCUUUCUGCAUGAUUAUAUGGGAUCCUGUUCUGACUACGAGCUUGGCUCGGAAGAUUACGGCGACUACUGCGAUCUUUCCCGCUACCUUGAUGGUGUGUACGAGGAUGAGGACGAGCUUGACGAAGAAGGUAAGAUGAUUCUCGGUGGCAUGCGCAUGUUUAUGAAGUAA
RNAcentral lists this ribosomal RNA (1020 nucleotides) under Triticum aestivum (bread wheat). Its description in RNAcentral is "partial small subunit ribosomal RNA". Lineage: Eukaryota; Viridiplantae; Streptophyta; Magnoliopsida; Poales; Poaceae. The record is from RNAcentral.